AUGGAGUUGUCAUCUUCUAUAUCUGCUUUGAAUCCCGCCAACUCAUUUGCUGCUUUUGAUGCACAAAUGGUAUGCAAGGUACAAAGACUUGUUGAGUUUUAUCCCAAAGAUUUUUCAAGUGAUGACUUGAUACACCUUAAACUACAAGUUCAUAACUAUAUAGAUGACAUGAAAAAAGAUGACAACUUCCGAGGCCUUGGAAAUCUUGUUGAUCUCUCGGUUAAGCUUGGUCAAAUAGGGAGACAUAUAGUUCAUCAUUUGGUGUACUUGCUUCUAAAAUUGGUAUUUAUUCUACCGGUGGCAACAACAAAUGUUGUGAGCGCAUUUUUUGCCAUGAGCAUAGUCAAGAGCAAGUUGAGAAAUAAGAUGGGCGAUAGUCUUUUGGAUGAUUGUCUAGUCACAUGUGUUGAGAGAAACCCUUUCUCCAAGGUGAAUGAACAUGAUAUAAUUGAUACCUUCAUGACAAUGCAAAAGCGUAGGCCGAAAACAUAG
This 492-nucleotide ribosomal RNA is filed under the name Triticum aestivum (bread wheat). Its description in RNAcentral is "partial small subunit ribosomal RNA". Lineage: Eukaryota; Viridiplantae; Streptophyta; Magnoliopsida; Poales; Poaceae. The record is from RNAcentral.